This 253-nucleotide ribosomal RNA is filed under the name uncultured Blautia sp. RNAcentral describes it as "partial 16S ribosomal RNA". It matches the Rfam family "Bacterial small subunit ribosomal RNA", at positions 524 to 776 of the family's 1533-position model. Lineage: Bacteria; Bacillati; Bacillota; Clostridia; Lachnospirales; Lachnospiraceae. The record is from RNAcentral.
UACGGAGGAUGCGAGCGUUAUCCGGAAUGAUUGGGCGUAAAGGGAGCGUAGACGGCAUGGCAAGCCAGAUGUGAAAUACCGGGGCUCAACCCCGGGACUGCAUUUGGAACUGUUAAGCUGGAGUGUCGGAGAGGCAGGCGGAAUUCCUAGUGUAGCGGUGAAAUGCGUAGAUAUUAGGAGGAACACCGGUGGCGAAGGCGGCUUGCUGGACGGUAACUGACGUUGAGGCUCGAAAGCGUGGGGAGCAAACAGG